AUCUAAGUAGUUUAAGUAUAAAAUGUUGGUUUGUGGUGCCGAUGAUACAGCUGUGUUUUAGAUU
Molecule: transfer RNA, 64 nt
Filed under: Furculitermes winifredae
Lineage: Eukaryota; Metazoa; Arthropoda; Insecta; Blattodea; Termitidae
Description: tRNA-His
Source: RNAcentral